RNAcentral lists this ribosomal RNA (531 nucleotides) under marine bacterium SIMO-2525. Its description in RNAcentral is "bacterial SSU rRNA". It matches the Rfam family "Bacterial small subunit ribosomal RNA", at positions 134 to 653 of the family's 1533-position model. The record is from RNAcentral.
AGGUCUGGGAUAACCACGAGAAAUCGGGGCUAAUACCGGAUGGGUCAUCGGACCGCAUGGUCCGAGGAUGAAAGGCGCUUCGGCGUCGCCUGGGGAUGGCUUUGCGGUGCAUUAGCUAGUUGGUGGGGUAAUGGCCCACCAAGGCGACGAUGCAUAGCCGACCUGAGAGGGUGAUCGGCCACACUGGGACUGAGACACGGCCCAGACUCCUACGGGAGGCAGCAGUAGGGAAUCUUCCACAAUGGACGAAAGUCUGAUGGAGCAACGCCGCGUGAACGAUGAAGGCCUUCGGGUCGUAAAGUUCUGUUGUAAGGGAAGAACAAGUGCCGCAGGCAAUGGCGGCACCUUGACGGUACCUUGCGAGAAAGCCACGGCUAACUACGUGCCAGCAGCCGCGGUAAUACGUAGGUGGCAAGCGUUGUCCGGAAUUAUUGGGCGUAAAGCGCGCGCAGGCGGCCUCUUAAGUCUGAUGUGAAAGCCCCCGGCUCAACCGGGGAGGGCCAUUGGAAACUGGGAGGCUUGAGUAUAGGA